GGUAAGGAGGGGCCAGGAGGCGGGGGCAUACGGGGGGGGGAAGUGUUGUCGGGAGUUAUUUGGCGUAAAGAGCGGUGAUGCGGCCAAGCAGGUUCGCUGUGAAAACUCGAGGCGCAACCUCGAGAGGUCGGUGUAAACCGUUUGGCUAGAGUCCGGAAGAGGAGAGUGGAAUUCCCGGUGUAGCGGUGAAAUGCGCAGAUAUCGGGAAGAACACCCGUGGCGAAGGCGGCUCUCUGGGACGGUACUGACGCUGAGACGCGAAAGCGUGGGGAGCGAACAGGAUUAGAUACCCGUGUAGUC
RNAcentral lists this ribosomal RNA (300 nucleotides) under uncultured Bacillus sp. Its description in RNAcentral is "bacterial SSU rRNA". The stretch from base 52 to 300 matches the Rfam family "Bacterial small subunit ribosomal RNA", at positions 547 to 795 of the family's 1533-position model. The record is from RNAcentral. Lineage: Bacteria; Bacillati; Bacillota; Bacilli; Caryophanales; Bacillaceae.